AACGCGAAGAACCUUACCUGGGCUCGAACGGCUGGUUAACGGCGGUGGAAACACUGCUACCCCGCAAGGGGGUCCAGUCGAGGUGCUGCAUGGCUGUCGUCAGCUCGUGUCGUGAGAUGUUGGGUUAAGUCCCGCAACGAGCGCAACCCUUGUCCUGUGUUGCCAUGUUCGCAAGAACGGAACUCGCAGGAGACCGCCAGCGAUAAGCUGGAGGAAGGUGGGGAUGACGUCAAGUCCUCAUGGCCUUUAUGUCCAGGGCUACACACGUGCUACAAUGGACGGUACAAUACGCCGCAAACCCGCGAGGGGGAGCCAAUCGCUAAAAACCGUUCUCAGUUCGGAUUGCAGGCUGCAACUCGCCUGCAUGAAGCUGGAAUCGCUAGUAAUGGCAGAUCAGCACGCUGCCGUGAAUACGUUCCCGGGCCUUGUACACACCGUACGUC
This 443-nucleotide ribosomal RNA is filed under the name uncultured bacterium. RNAcentral's name for it is "bacterial SSU rRNA". It matches the Rfam family "Bacterial small subunit ribosomal RNA", at positions 958 to 1398 of the family's 1533-position model. The record is from RNAcentral.